AGCUUAGUAUCAUGCAUUUAAUCAAGUACAGGAAAUAAAAUAACAGUCAGUAGAAUGUGGUGACACCGAUAGAACCAGAAUCAGAGACUAGCCUUUCUUAAUUCAAGUUUAAAGAAUGUUAAUAUAUCUCCUAGAUAUAAGAACAUUCAACUAAGAUUGGAAAAUUUUAUUUAUACAAAACUUUAAACUUUCUUAUUCAUAAAUCAUUUUGUAGAAUAUUUAAUAUGCUACUGUCUGCUGUGAAUAUGAAUAUCUCUGAGUGGAUAUUGACAGAAUAUGUUUAUUAAGUUUGUGACCUUAGAACCCUUUUUCCCACCAUCUAAGAAUCUAUAGGGAGAAUCCAUCAUACAUUCAAAACUUUAAAAAACAGCGCUCUAGCCCAAACUACAGUCUGACAAAUGAUAAACUCUCAAGUUUCUAACUGUAGAAGUAGGUGAAUGAGCAGCUUUCACAAAUAGUUGAAUAACUACUAACAUUUAGUGAUGUCCUAGAAAAAUGCAAGGAAACAGCUUAAUAAUCUCCUGAAUGUUUAAGUUUGCUUUGGGGGCCAGAUAGAACAGCAACAAUUCCUUACAUCCCUAGAGUUUGUAUCACAAGGAUUAAAUAUGAAAUGUUCAAAUAUCAGAUUUUGAAUUAAAAUCAAAGAUACAAGUGAUCUUGAGGGAUACAUGUUGUUUAAGCACAAUUUUAAAGCGUUUUUUUCAUUGUUGUUGUUCA
RNAcentral lists this long non-coding RNA (717 nucleotides) under Bos taurus (domestic cattle). RNAcentral describes it as "long non-coding RNA NONBTAT024203". Lineage: Eukaryota; Metazoa; Chordata; Mammalia; Artiodactyla; Bovidae. The record is from RNAcentral.